UAUAGGAUCAGGGUUCUUGCAGUGUCAGGGAUUUAAGACUUUUUAACUCCCCCUCCCCCGCCUUUUUUCCUUGCUUGUCUGAACAGCUCUGGGCUCCCCCGGCAUCACUUCAGUGCAAGGACCCGUCUGACACUACUUAUGCCAGGUCCUGCCUCCCUCACAGGAGAAGCAGUCUGCAACUUUUGCUGCUCUAGACAACACUUCAUCUCCGAGAGGCAGAGCUCUGCAGAGCGGAUCUGGGGUGAAGUGGUACCUUGGUGUGUCAUCGUGUCUUGGCUGUAGGAUGAAGGAGAUCAAGAUGACACUCAGUGAAGAUGAUAGAUACUGCAAAACGAUGGGCUUUCCUGGACUGUGAAGAGCUUGCCACUGUGCCAUGGUCCCCUGCGGAAAAGGAAGGCUGUCUGGAAGUUGCUGAGUUCUGUUUGUUUUUCCCAUCAGGAAGAGAUGGUUUUAAAAGYAGUUUAAGGGAGGUGGAAACCUCAAGCUCACGAGGUAGAAGAGCCCUGACGAACUGUAUGGGCAAAUGCAGGAUGGGUCCGUCCUCUUUCCUGUUGCUGCUGGCCCUGUUCAGCACCUUGCGGCCCUCUCCAGGAGGCUGCACUCCGAACCCUUCCCGGUUUCACUUUGCGAGUGGAAGGUGCUUGGAGAAGGGAGCAAAGGGUUCGUGCCCUUGCAGUGCAAGCUUACGGAAAUCUGUGCCCUGGGCUAAUUUGUUUUUUUUAAUAUUUUUUUUUAUGGGAACUCUUUUAAAAAACAAACAACCCAAAAGGCAAGCAUCUUCCAGAGCCGACGCUUCUCCCCUGCCCCGCCAAGUUGUGCUGUGCACCCUGGCCCCACCUUCUCUCCCUCCCGCUGCAUCUUCAUGUCACCGCAGGGAUGCGAGUGGCAUCGUGGCACUUGGUGAGCGGGGGCAGUGCUGUUUCCUGCUGCAGAAAGGGGACAGCGUCGGUGUAAAUUAGCCCGAUUUUUUGUGGGCAUUGGAAACUUCAGAGGCACUCUAUUCAUUGCUGUUAAAAGUGCUGCAGUAUUGGGUGGUCUGUAUAGAUGUCUUAUAUUAAAAGUAAUAAUAAUAAAAUAYUGCCAGUUUGGUUUUGUUUUCUGUGG
This 1104-nucleotide long non-coding RNA is filed under the name Dromaius novaehollandiae (emu). Its description in RNAcentral is "lncRNA (ENSDNVG00000016967.1)". Lineage: Eukaryota; Metazoa; Chordata; Aves; Casuariiformes; Dromaiidae. The record is from RNAcentral.